Molecule: ribosomal RNA, 509 nt
Filed under: uncultured bacterium
Lineage: Bacteria
Description: partial 16S ribosomal RNA
Source: RNAcentral
GGAGUUAGCCGGUGCUUCUUCUGCGAGUAACGUCACAGAUGUAAGGUAUUAACUUACACCCUUUCCUCCUCGCUGAAAGUGCUUUACAACCCGAAGGCCUUCUUCACACACGCGGCAUGGCUGCAUCAGGGUUUCCCCCAUUGUGCAAUAUUCCCCACUGCUGCCUCCCGUAGGAGUCUGGGCCGUGUCUCAGUCCCAGUGUGGCUGAUCAUCCUCUCAGACCAGCUAGGGAUCGUCGCCUAGGUGAGCCUUUACCUCACCUACUAGCUAAUCCCACCUGGGCUUAUCCAUCAGCGCAAGGCCCGAAGGUCCCCUGCUUUCCCCCGUAGGGCGUAUGCGGUAUUAGCAGUCGUUUCCAACUGUUAUCCCCCACAAAUGGGCAAAUUCCCAGGCAUUACUCACCCGUCCGCCGCUCGUCAUCUUCAAAAGCAAGCUUUUGAAAUGUUACCGCUCGACUUGCAUGUGUAGCUCGCCGCCACGCGUCAUCUGAGCGAGAUACAACUACUCGA